Long non-coding RNA from Cyprinus carpio (common carp), 644 nucleotides. RefSeq lists it as uncharacterized. NCBI's taxonomy places the organism in Eukaryota, Metazoa, Chordata, Actinopteri, Cypriniformes, Cyprinidae. The transcript has 6 exons. The record is from RefSeq and is a predicted model, not a curated record.
AAGUAAAACAACUGCUCUCAAUUUUUAUCUUCUUCCCAAAAAUACAUCCCACACACCGUUGCCAACUGAGGAGCUUGAACUCCUCCAGGCGGGUAUGAGAAGACAAACAGUGUCUCUUCCAGAAGAUGGUGACCACACAGAGAUUUCAAAGCACCUGGCUAACACAUUUGCAAAAAUGGAGGGUCUUUGUGGGGGAUGGCUCUUGCAUAAGGCAACAGUUGGCAGUGGUCGACGAAAGCUGACUGUCAUUCCACCAGAAGCAGAGGGGUAUUCUGUCAAAGCUCUGCGAGCUGCGUCAUCGUUUUACAUCGUACCACUCCAGGAGACUUUAGACACCUCUCCUCUGCCUUCUGACUCAGAGCAUUUUUCAAAAAUGCCAAAGAAGACAUGCUACCAGUGUAAUGAGGCGAUGCCUUUGCAUAUGCUUGCAGUACAAAUUAAGACAUGCAAGGGAAAACUCACCACAGAUGAGACUGGUGAAGAGUCCUCUGAUGAGUUAUGGGUUGUGUAGAACAAGUGCAAGGUGGUUUGUCCAAUUUGCACCAAAGAAUUCCCAGACGAUGAGAUCACAUUCCAUGCUAGCCUUUGUGGAGAGAGCUUUGAAUCUAUAGUGACUUCUGAAGCAAAUAGCAGUGGCCCAAGUA